RNAcentral lists this transfer RNA (72 nucleotides) under Camelus ferus (Wild Bactrian camel). It matches the Rfam family "tRNA". From Rfam's summary of the family: Transfer RNA (tRNA) molecules are approximately 80 nucleotides in length. Lineage: Eukaryota; Metazoa; Chordata; Mammalia; Artiodactyla; Camelidae. The record is from Rfam by way of RNAcentral.
GAUUGUAUAGCUCAGUGGCAGAGCGCAUGCUUAGCAUGCGUGAGGCCCUGGGUUCAAUCCCCUGUACCUCCA